RNAcentral lists this ribosomal RNA (253 nucleotides) under uncultured bacterium. RNAcentral describes it as "partial 16S ribosomal RNA". It matches the Rfam family "Bacterial small subunit ribosomal RNA", at positions 524 to 776 of the family's 1533-position model. The record is from RNAcentral.
UACGGGGGGGGCAAGCGUUGUUCGGAAUUACUGGGCGUAAAGGGCGCGUAGGCGGUUGGAUAAGUCAGCUGUGAAAACCACGGGCUUAACUCGUGGCCUGCAGUUGAGACUGUCUGGCUUGAGUGUGGGAGAGGAGAGUGGAAUUCCUGGUGUAGCGGUGAAAUGCGUAGAUAUCAGGAGGAACACCGGUGGCGAAGGCGGCAUCCUGGACCGACACUGACGCUGAGGAGCGAAAGCCAGGGGAGCAAACGGG